RNAcentral lists this ribosomal RNA (547 nucleotides) under Xiphinema abrantinum. Its description in RNAcentral is "eukaryotic LSU rRNA". It matches the Rfam family "Eukaryotic large subunit ribosomal RNA", at positions 407 to 752 of the family's 3401-position model. The record is from RNAcentral. Lineage: Eukaryota; Metazoa; Nematoda; Enoplea; Dorylaimida; Longidoridae.
GCUUAGAUAAAACGGACGGAGCCGUCUGAGGCCCGUCGGAAUCAGUCGAAUCGACGCGUGAAAGCGAGUCCGACGCGAAUAAGGAACGAAAGUCCAGUCGGCUCGUAGAUUCGAGUAGCGCUCGUUCGAUGCAUUUCCGGUGGGUAAGCGCCGUGACCGAUGCGAAUAUCCGGCUAGCGAAGCCGUCGGAUUGAGGUCGAGUUCGUUCGCGAGUCUCGUAACCAGUCCGUCGGUCGAAUAGAAAUCGUUAGACCGUAGCAUCGAGAGAGAAUAAAAUUCGAACGUCGGCGAUUCUGUCGCGCUCGCCUAUUACGAUGGACGUACGUUCGGCCGAUCGUCGCCUGCUCGCAGGUUUCGGUCGCGUCCGGCGCGUAUCCGAAAUCGUCGGCGACGUUUUACGACGUUCGGGUGUCCACGGCGUCCGAGUCGGUCGCCCGUCCGACCCGUCUUGAAACACGGACCAAGGAGUCUAACGUAAGCGCGAGCUAAUGGGCGGAAAACCCAUAAGCGCAAUAAAAGUAAAAGUCGUUUCGGACGGCUUAGGUAC